CAGGGAUUGCCCCAGUAACGGCGAGUGAAGCGGCAAGAGCUCAAAUUUGAAAUCUGGCCCUCUCAGGGUCCGAGUUGUAAUUUGUAGAGGGCGCUUUGGCGUCGGCCCCGGCCUAAGUUCCUUGGAACAGGACGUCACAGAGGGUGAGAACCCCGUACGUGGCCGCCGGUCUUCGCCGUGUAAAGCCCCUUCGACGAGUCGAGUUGUUUGGGAAUGCAGCUCUAAAUGGGAGGUAAAUUUCUUCUAAAGCUAAAUACUGGCCAGAGACCGAUAGCGCACAAGUAGAGUGAUCGAAAGAUGAAAAGCACUUUGGAAAGAGAGUCAAAAAGCACGUGAAAUUGUUGAAAGGGAAGCGCUUGCAGCCAGACUUGCCUGUAGUUGCUCAUCCGAGCUCCCGCUCGGUGCACUCUUCUGCGGGCAGGCCAGCAUCAGUCCGGGCGGUCGGAUAAAGGCCUCGGGAAUGUAGCUCCCCUCGGGGAGUGUUAUAGCCCGGGGUGCCAUGCGACCAGCCUGGACUGAGGUCCGCGCAUCUGCUAGGAUGCUGGCGUAAUGGCUGUAAGCGGCCCGUCUUGAAACACGGACCAAGGAGUCUAACAUCUAUGCGAGUGUUUGGGUGUCAAGCCCGGGCGCGCAAUGAAAGUGAACGGAGGUGGGAACCCCUCGGGGCGCACCAUCGACCGAUCCUGAUGUCUUCGGAUGGAUUUGAGUAAGAGCAUAGCUGUUGGGACCCGAAAGAUGGUGAACUAUGCCUGAAUAGGGUGAAGCCAGAGGAAACUCUGGUGGAGGCUCGCAGCGGUUCUGACGUGCAAAUCGAUCGUCAAAUUUGGGCAUAGGGGCGAAAGACUAUUCGAACUAUCUAGUAGCUGGGUCCUGC
Molecule: ribosomal RNA, 874 nt
Filed under: Atrocalyx quercus
Lineage: Eukaryota; Fungi; Ascomycota; Dothideomycetes; Pleosporales; Lophiotremataceae
Description: Atrocalyx sp. ST-2020a partial large subunit ribosomal RNA
Rfam family: Eukaryotic large subunit ribosomal RNA
Source: RNAcentral